This 396-nucleotide ribosomal RNA is filed under the name uncultured bacterium. RNAcentral's name for it is "bacterial SSU rRNA". It matches the Rfam family "Bacterial small subunit ribosomal RNA", at positions 997 to 1393 of the family's 1533-position model. The record is from RNAcentral.
CUUUUAGAGAUAGAAGUGUUCUCUUCGGAGACAAAGUGACAGGUGGUGCAUGGUCGUCGUCAGCUCGUGUCGUGAGAUGUUGGGUUAAGUCCCGCAACGAGCGCAACCCUUAUUGUUAGUUGCCAGCAUUCAGAUGGGCACUCUAGCGAGACUGCCGGUGACAAACCGGAGGAAGGCGGGGACGACGUCAGAUCAUCAUGCCCCUUAUGACCUGGGCUACACACGUGCUACAAUGGCGUAUACAACGAGUUGCCAGCCCGCGAGGGUGAGCUAAUCUCUUAAAGUACGUCUCAGUUCGGAUUGUAGUCUGCAACUCGACUACAUGAAGUCGGAAUCGCUAGUAAUCGCGGAUCAGCACGCCGCGGUGAAUACGUUCCCGGGUCUUGUACACACCGA